This 394-nucleotide ribosomal RNA is filed under the name uncultured bacterium. RNAcentral describes it as "bacterial SSU rRNA". It matches the Rfam family "Bacterial small subunit ribosomal RNA", at positions 28 to 430 of the family's 1533-position model. The record is from RNAcentral.
GAUAAACGCUGGCGGCGUGCAUGAGACAUGCAAGUCGAACGGACGAUCGAGGCUUGCUUCGAUCGUUAGUGGCGGACGGCUGAGUAACGCGUAGGUGACCUGCCCCGAAGUGGGAUAACUGCCCGAAGGGUGGCUAAUACCGCAUGUGGUGGUGCGUUCAAUCGCACCAGUAAAGCCGCAAGGCGCUUCGGGAGGGGCCUGCGUCCGAUUAGCUCGUUGGUGGGGAACGGCGUCACCAAGGCGACGAUCGGUAGGUGGUCUGAGAGGACGAUCACCCAGACUGGGACUGAGACACGGCCCAGACUCCUACGGGAGGCAGCAGUGGGGAAUUUUGGACAAUGGGCGCAAGCCUGAUCCAGCCAUGCCGCGUGCGGGAAGAAGGCCUGGUGUAACG